This 73-nucleotide microRNA precursor is filed under the name Tupaia belangeri (northern tree shrew). RNAcentral describes it as "miRNA (ENSTBEG00000021052.1)". Lineage: Eukaryota; Metazoa; Chordata; Mammalia; Scandentia; Tupaiidae. The record is from RNAcentral.
UACUCCAAGGGGUGUCAUUCACACAGAAUACAAUGCAAUGGCAUCCCUUGUAGUUGGGCAACAUAGCUCCAGG